UCUCUGGUGGUUCAGUGGCUAGGACACUGCACUCCCAAUGCAGUGGGCCCAGGUUUGAUCCCAGAGCAAGGAA
This is a non-coding RNA of Bos taurus (domestic cattle), 73 nucleotides long. Lineage: Eukaryota; Metazoa; Chordata; Mammalia; Artiodactyla; Bovidae. The record is from Rfam.